UGCCAGCAGCCGCGGUAAUACGGGGGAUGCAAGCGUAGUUCGGAAUUACUGGGCUUAAAGAGUUCGUAGGUGGUUAAAAAAGUUGGUGGUGAAAGCCCAGAGCUUAACUCUGGAACUGCCAUCAAAACUUUUUGGCUAGAGUAUGAUAGAGGAAAGCAGAAUUUCUAGUGUAGAGGUGAAAUUCGUAGAUAUUAGAAAGAAUACCGAUUGCGAAGGCAGCUUUCUGGAUCAUUACUGACACUGAGGAACGAAAGCAUGGGUAGCGAAGAGGAUUAUAUA
This 279-nucleotide ribosomal RNA is filed under the name uncultured bacterium. RNAcentral describes it as "partial 16S ribosomal RNA". It matches the Rfam family "Bacterial small subunit ribosomal RNA", at positions 506 to 784 of the family's 1533-position model. The record is from RNAcentral.